UCUCCGUUGGUGAACCAGCGGAGGGAUCAUUACAGAGUUGCAGAACUCCCAAACCAUUGUGAACGUUACCUAUCCCGUUGCUUCGGCGGGCGGCCCGGGCCCCGCGCCCGGCGCCCCCCCGGCCCCCCGUGGGCGCCCGCCGGAGGUAAACCAAACCCUUGAAUUGCAUGGUCUCUCUGAGUCUUCUGUACUGAAUAAGUCAAAACUUUCAACAACGGAUCUCUUGGUUCUG
This 232-nucleotide unclassified non-coding RNA is filed under the name plant metagenome. RNAcentral's name for it is "partial contains small subunit ribosomal RNA, internal transcribed spacer 1, and 5.8S ribosomal RNA". The record is from RNAcentral.